This 499-nucleotide ribosomal RNA is filed under the name uncultured Glomeromycotina. Its description in RNAcentral is "partial small subunit ribosomal RNA". It matches the Rfam family "Eukaryotic small subunit ribosomal RNA", at positions 591 to 1092 of the family's 1831-position model. Lineage: Eukaryota; Fungi; Glomeromycota. The record is from RNAcentral.
CCAAUAGCGUAUAUUAAAGUUGUUGCAGUUAAAAAGCUCGUAGUUGAAUUUCGGGAUCGAAUUGUCGGUCGUGCUUCGGUACGCACUGGCAUUAUCGGUUUCUACCUUCUGAAGAACCGCGAUGUCAUUAAUUUGGUGUCGUGGGGAAUCAGGACUGUUACUUUGAAAAAAUUAGAGUGUUUAAAGCAGGCUUACGCUUGAAUACAUUAGCAUGGAAUAAUGAAAUAGGACGUUUGAUUCUAUUUUGUUGGUUUCUAGGAUCGACGUAAUGAUUAAUAGGGAUAGUUGGGGGCAUUAGUAUUCAAUUGUCAGAGGUGAAAUUCUUGGAUUUAUUGAAGACUAACUACUGCGAAAGCAGUUGCCAAGGAUGUUUUCAUUAAUCAAGAACGAAAGUUAGGGGAUCGAAGACGAUCAGAUACCGUCGUAGUCUUAACCAUAAACUAUGCCGACUAGGGAUCGGAUGAUGUUAAUUUUAUAAUGACUCAUUCGGCGCCUUACG